RNAcentral lists this ribosomal RNA (495 nucleotides) under uncultured bacterium. RNAcentral describes it as "partial 16S ribosomal RNA". It matches the Rfam family "Bacterial small subunit ribosomal RNA", at positions 29 to 506 of the family's 1533-position model. The record is from RNAcentral.
AUGAACGCUGGCGGCGUGCCUAAUCCAUGCCAGUCGAGCGAACGGACGAGAAGCUUGCUUCUCUGAUGUUAGCGGCGGACGGGUGAGUAACACGUGGAUAACCUACCUAUAAGACUGGGAUAACUUCGGGAAACCGGAGCUAAUACCGGAUAAUAUUUUGAACCGCAUGGUUCAAAAGUGAAAGACGGUCUUGCUGUCACUUAUAGAUGGAUCCGCGCUGCAUUAGCUAGUUGGUAAGGUAACGGCUUACCAAGGCAACGAUGCAUAGCCGACCUGAGAGGGUGAUCGGCAACACUGGAACUGAGACACGGUCCAGACUCCUACGGGAGGCAGCAGUAGGGAAUCUUCCGCAAUGGGCGAAAGCCUGACGGAGCAACGCCGCGUGAGUGAUGAAGGUCUUCGGAUCGUAAAACUCUGUUAUUAGGGAAGAACAUAUGUGUAAGUAACUGUGCACAUCUUGACGGUACCUAAUCAGAAAGCCACGGCUAACUACGU